This 253-nucleotide ribosomal RNA is filed under the name uncultured bacterium. Its description in RNAcentral is "partial 16S ribosomal RNA". It matches the Rfam family "Bacterial small subunit ribosomal RNA", at positions 524 to 776 of the family's 1533-position model. The record is from RNAcentral.
UACGUAGGGUGCAGGCGUUAAUCGGAAUUACUGGGCGUAAAGCGUGCGCAGGCGGUUUCUUAAGUCAGAUGUGAAAGCCCCGGGCUUAACCUGGGAACUGCGUUUGAAACUGGGAGACUUGAGUGUGGCAGAGGGGGGUGGAAUUCCACGUGUAGCAGUGAAAUGCGUAGAUAUGUGGAGGAACACCGAUGGCGAAGGCAGCCCCCUGGGCUGAGAUUGACGCUCAGGCACGAAAGCGUGGGGAGCAAACAGG